GGGGUUGCUGUAGCUCAGCGGUAGAGCAUCUGCUUUUCAUGUAGAAGGUCUUGGGUUCAAUCCUGGCAGCUCCA
Molecule: non-coding RNA, 74 nt
Organism: Podarcis lilfordi (Lilford's wall lizard)
Lineage: Eukaryota; Metazoa; Chordata; Lepidosauria; Squamata; Lacertidae
Source: the annotation of a GenBank genome assembly